AUCAUCGUUGUGUUAACUAGAUGCUAAAGAUACAGAUGUGAACAAGAUCCAUUCUACAUCCUUCAUGGAGUUUUCAUGGAAAUGGAAUGAGCCAUGAGGCCCUGUGGACCCUACUUGCAAUGGGCUAAUGGACUGCAGUGUGGAACACAAGUUAAGCUAGAUGGAUGCUGGAUUGGGCACGGCUCCAAUAUGGAAAGGAAACUCUCAACACAGACUCUGAUUUGAGCCCCACUGAAGCCCCAGCUACACGUCUUCGAUGACUGGACUGAGGGAAAUGAGACUUUGGAAACCCAAGGGUGUAAUUCCACAGAAAUAAAGCUUUCUACUAUAAGA
This is a long non-coding RNA of Myotis myotis, 333 nucleotides long. RefSeq lists it as uncharacterized. NCBI's taxonomy places the organism in Eukaryota, Metazoa, Chordata, Mammalia, Chiroptera, Vespertilionidae. The transcript is spliced from 2 exons. The record is from RefSeq and is a predicted model, not a curated record.